Molecule: transfer RNA, 65 nt
Filed under: Cucujoidea sp. 35 KM-2017
Lineage: Eukaryota; Metazoa; Arthropoda; Insecta; Coleoptera
Description: tRNA-Cys
Source: RNAcentral
AGUCUUAUAAUCAAAAAUUAUGAUUUUAAAUUGCAAGUUUAAAAGUGGGCUAAGCCUUAAGGCUU